RNAcentral lists this ribosomal RNA (227 nucleotides) under uncultured Enterobacterales bacterium. Its description in RNAcentral is "partial 16S ribosomal RNA". It matches the Rfam family "Bacterial small subunit ribosomal RNA", at positions 104 to 334 of the family's 1533-position model. The record is from RNAcentral. Lineage: Bacteria; Pseudomonadati; Pseudomonadota; Gammaproteobacteria; Enterobacterales.
GGGGUGAGUAAUGUCUGGGAAACUGCCUGAUGGAGGGGGAUAACUACUGGAAACGGUAGCUAAUACCGCAUAAUGUCGCAAGACCAAAGAGGGGACCUUCGGGCCUCUUGCCAUCAGAUGUGCCCAGAUGGGAUUAGCUUGUUGGUGGGGUAACGGCUCACCAAGGCGACGAUCCCUAGCUGGUCUGAGAGGAUGACCAGCCACACUGGAACUGAGACACGGUCCAG